UACGGGGGGGGCAAGCGUUGUUCGGAAUUACUGGGCGUAAAGGGCUCGUAGGCGGCCAACUAAGUCAGACGUGAAAUCCCUGGGCUCAACCCAGGAACUGCGUCCAAGACUGGGAGGCUUGAAUCCGGGAGAGGGAUGCGGAAUUCCAGGUGUAGCGGUGAAAUGCGCAGAUAUCAGGAGGAACACCGGUGGCGAAGGCAGCCUUCUGGGCCAACACUGACGCUCAUGCACGAAAGCGUGGGGAGCAAACAGG
This 253-nucleotide ribosomal RNA is filed under the name uncultured bacterium. RNAcentral describes it as "partial 16S ribosomal RNA". It matches the Rfam family "Bacterial small subunit ribosomal RNA", at positions 524 to 776 of the family's 1533-position model. The record is from RNAcentral.